AUAUAUAUAUUACUCUUGCAGAUAAAAGCACCGUUUCUGGGAAAACUCUUAGACUAACUAAGAUUUCAAGUGCCCUGACAUCCUCUCCACGGAACAAACUGGAAUUUAUUAGACUUUAAUUUCUCUCUGCAAAUAUUCAUCUGGACUCAAAACUACCGAUUGGAUUCUGUCCGUGAAAGUUUGUUUUUUUUUUUACAAAAAAAAAAGUUUUUAAAAAUGAUUCGCUGUUUACAAUUUGUGUUUGUUUUCGCCAUGUUAGAACUGGCCUUAGCGUGGAUGGGGCGAUAUGAAGAGAAACCCUGGGCUCCUUCCAGACGAAGUUCUUAUUGUGUAAAGACGGGUGGCCAAUGUCUACAGAGCAGUCAGUGUUGUAGUUUUUCAGACGUGUGUCUAACCAACUCCAAGUAUACAAAAUAUGCAAAAUCACGCUACAGUACCUGUGAGAAUGUCAAGGCUCUAGCACUAACCAAAUCAAUCCAACCAUUUAAAAAAGCAGGUUCAUCGUGUACUGAUAGCUUAGAAUGUGUUGAUUUGUGUUGUCGGGAAAUUCGAGGCCACAGAUAUCACUACAACAGAUGUGGAAAACCGGAAGAUGACUUCACUUCCUACACAUGCGUGAUGGCACAACGAAGCGGAAAUGACGUAUUGGACGAUAUUGGAUUAUAAACAGGAAUUACUUCAAAGAUUUACAUUUUCAAUUUUCUGAAAAAUCAUAUUUACCUCUUUUUUUUUUUUUUUUUUAUCUGAUAUUUAAAUAUUAGAAUCACCAAAUUCCAUCAAUGUCCCUUUUUUUUCUAAAUUUGUAAAUUAUGGAAAUUGACAUAAUAGACCGUUUUGGUCCAGUGUUCUGUACCAUGUUGUAAGUUUCAAGACAUUUCACGGAACCACGUGCCCGAUUAUCUACCAUAUCUGAUAAUGUUCCAUGUCAAGAACAACUAUUAUCAAAACAAUUUGCGACUAGACCAAAAUAAGCUGGUAUCCAUGUAAAAUUAAUUACCCAGUCAUUGAGUCUCAUUAUGAUGUCAAUAUCCAAUUAUCGACAACUGGACAAAAAAAACGAAAAAAAAAAAACAGCAAAAAUUCUCGACAAACGCGACGGGAACAGGAAACAUUGUCACACAUUUUAUUUGAUUGAAAAAUAAAGAAGACCAUUUCGGUAGUUCUUUUUUUUUGAAAAAUAUUAAGAACUUCUGUUUUUCAUUUAUUAAUUAUUGUGUAAAAUAUCAAACAUUUCCAUGUUAUUCUGGCACCAUUUCGUAGAAUGAGUACCUAGAUUUUAAAAUAGGACAAUGUCCAUGGUUUUGUAAAUAUGUUUUCUGCUCAAUUUAUUGUACCAGUUCUAGAAUGUAUUACUAAGAAAGCAAAGGUAAUAAAAUUUAUCAAAGAAUAAA
This is a long non-coding RNA of Patella vulgata (common limpet), 1391 nucleotides long. RefSeq lists it as uncharacterized. NCBI's taxonomy places the organism in Eukaryota, Metazoa, Mollusca, Gastropoda, Patellidae. The transcript has 4 exons. The record is from RefSeq and is a predicted model, not a curated record.